UCCCUUAGUAGCGGCGAGCGAAGCGGGAAGAGCCCAGCACCGAAUCCCCUACCUGUGAGGCAGUGGGACCUGUGGUGUUUAGGAUAGCCUCUGGGAUCCCGCCGUGUGUCCGAGUCCUCCUGAUCGGGGCCUUUCCCAUAGUGGGUGUCAGGCCUCUACUGGCAUGCGGUGGGGUUUCUUUGAGCGUCCUUGGAGUCGGGUUGUUUGGGAAUGCAGCCCAAAGCGGGUGGUAACUCCAUCUAGGCUAAUACUGACACGAGUCCGAUAGCGACAGUACCG
Molecule: ribosomal RNA, 279 nt
Filed under: Maupasia coeca
Lineage: Eukaryota; Metazoa; Annelida; Polychaeta; Phyllodocida; Lopadorrhynchidae
Description: partial large subunit ribosomal RNA
Rfam family: Eukaryotic large subunit ribosomal RNA
Source: RNAcentral